Chlorocebus sabaeus (green monkey) is the source of this 1090-nucleotide non-coding RNA. The record is from RefSeq and is a predicted model, not a curated record. NCBI's taxonomy places the organism in Eukaryota, Metazoa, Chordata, Mammalia, Primates, Cercopithecidae.
UUUGAAAAUAUACAGAAUGGUUUGUCAAAACAUGUGAAAUGCACUGUAUGGUUCCAAAAUCUGUUUUUCAUGUUUUUCUUUGGGGUGUGAUCUGUUCCUGUUGGUUUAGUGUUUGUGCCUUAAUUGUAGUAUAUCCUUAAGGAAAUUGAGUAUUGGUAGACUAUUUAUUGCAGUUGAAGAUAUAGCAAAAGAAAUAAAUAAGUUUCCAGGAGGGAAAUACCUACAAGUGAAUGAUAAUACAGUCAGUGUAAAACAGCCUUUCACUAAAGAAUGUAUAUACUAUUAUUUACUCAAAAACUAUUCAGCAACUAUUUUACCCACAGGUGAAAUGCACUGGAGUGUCCAGUUUUGUGUCACGUGUCCUUUCUGCCAUUCUCAGGCUAAUGGCACUCUUCAUGACAAGCCUGAUUGUACUGUUAAGCUCCAGAGGAAAAAAUGUGGCUACAGAGUAUAUUAAAAUACAUACAAUUGAAAAGGAAAAUGUUCAUUUUUGCAAGCAGAAGAUUACCAACAGAAUGCUAAAAUUGAAGCUAGAAGAAAGAUUUGAAGUGCCUUUACAAGGUUAUUUCCAAGGUGAUAGAGUUUUCUUUCCUUUUUGAUGAUUUUACUAUGGAAGUGUGAACACUUGAACAACUCAGUCAGCAAUAAAGAAUGAGGUUAGAACUGGAUUUAGCUGGAAAAUCAACAUUGUCUAAUAUAGAAAGAAAGGAGCAAAACAGAGAGAAAAAAAAAGUGAGUUUGUUUAUUUGUUGCUUAAACUGAUUGAAGUUGUAAUCCUGACCCUUUGUAGCUGGAAAAGUCCUGAUUACUUUUCCUGAUUGCUUGCAAAAUAGUGGUUCUUUAUUUCUUAUUUUGGUUAUAAUUUAUUUACAUAAUGGGAUUUAUUAUCUGAGGGAUAGUUUUAGUUUUUAAGUCCACUUGGGAUGCUGUAGAGUCAGUGGAGAAUGAGCAUGUGAUAUUUUAAGGAAUGAUGUCAUAUGUUUACCUGAGCCAGUUUGAAACUUCACUGAGACUAGGAUGAGACACUUGCUUUGCUAUAUUAGUAUUCAGGAAUGCUAGUGGCUAUGACAAAGAGGCCAAAACAACAAUG